RNAcentral lists this ribosomal RNA (775 nucleotides) under uncultured Pseudomonadota bacterium. RNAcentral describes it as "bacterial SSU rRNA". It matches the Rfam family "Bacterial small subunit ribosomal RNA", at positions 69 to 835 of the family's 1533-position model. Lineage: Bacteria; Pseudomonadati; Pseudomonadota. The record is from RNAcentral.
UUCUUGACAGCGUAUCGUCGAGGAUAGCGGCAGACGGGUGAGUAAUACUUGGGUAAUCUACCCUCGAAAGGGAGACAACCUGCCGAAAGGCGGGCUAAUAUCCCGUAAGACCACAGGAGCGCAUGCUCCAGAGGUCAAAGCUCCGCAAGGGGUGUUUGAGGAGGAACCCGAGGCCUAUCAUGGUAGUUGGCGGGGUAACGGCCCACCAAGCCUUUGACGGGUAGCCGACCUGAAAGGGUGACCGGCCACACUGGCACUGAGACACGGGCCAGACUCCUACGGGAGGCAGCAGUGGGGAAUUUUGGACAAUGGGGGAAACCCUGAUCCAGCGACGCCGCGUGGAGGAUGAAGGUCUUCGGAUUGUAAACUCCUUUUGGAGGGGAUGAAUGGCUUGGUGAAUAGCCAAGAGUGACAGUACUCUCUGAAUAAGCCACGGCUAACUACGUGCCAGCAGCCGCGGUAAUACGUAGGUGGCAAGCGUUACUCGGAAUCACUAGGCGUAAAGCGCAGGUAGGCGGUUCGGCAAGUCCGUUGUGAAAGCUCCCGGCUCAACUGGGAGAGGCCAACGGAAACUGCCGGGCUAGAGUGUGGUAGGGGAAGCUGGAAUUCCCGGUGUAGCGGUGAAAUGCGUAGAUAUCGGGAGGAACACCUAUGGCGAAAGCAGGCUUCUGGGCCAUCACUGACGCUGAUCUGCGAAAGCUAGGGGAGCAAACAGGAUUAGAUACCCUGGUAGUCCUAGCCCUAAACGAUGCUCAUUAGGUGUGGGAGGUAUCGA